UUUUUUUUUUUUGUGGAGAUGACAAGUCAGUUACUUUGGACCAAUGCGCACCUCUUGUUCCAAACUUUCAACCACCAAUGGGAUGGCAAAACCAUAUACCUCAGUGGUACUAGCUACCCACCUGCAGCGAAUGCCAAGUCAAAACCAAGGAAACAUGCCAUGGCCUUCGAAAGGCAAAGCUUCCAAGACGAAAGGGAAAUGAGAUGCAUGUGUCUAGUGUAUCAAGUGAAUCUGACUAAGGAAAGCGAUGAUGAUACUGUUUCCUCUUUAGAAGAUCAACGUAAAAGACAUUCUCUUGGUCGUCAAAGAAAAACAAGAAGAAGUCGUUUGCUGAAAGUUGCAUUCUUGUUUUGGAAAGGCAGAGAAGAAUUGCUGAUCAGAGAUCAGCUUCGAGUGCAUCACGAAAAGCCUCGAACCGAGUUUCUUUGGUUCGAGAAAGGGCAACACAAGAAGGUGAAGUAAGAAAAAUAACGUUGCGUUUAAAACGGUUGGAGACAAAACAAGUCGUUUUACUGCGUCAAAUAACAGACUCGGAAACGCUUUGUUUGGUUGUUACGUCAAAAUGUUUUUGAUAUUUGUUGGUUUUGCUCGUCUUACGAUUAUAGAUUUAUUAAUAUUUUUGUUUUCAGAAUUUUUUUUGUAAUUUUAUUGAGUUAUCUCUGAGAUUUAAUAUUUAUAGAUAUUGGAUUAUAGACUCCAGUAGCAAACUAAAAAUAAAUAUCUUCUCAAUGUCACCGUCCAUAUGACAAAAAUUAAAAUUAGCAAGUGCACAACUCUACUAUUAUUUAAUUAUUCAUCGUGUUUUUAUGUUUUACCGACUAGCCACAACGCGUAUAACGAUUUGAAUGGUCCACCUGAGGAAGUUUAAAUAUUUUUCUUAUGAAUAAAAGUUUGAUGCAUGAAUUAUACUUUGUGCCGUUUCUAUUUGUAAACUUUGACUAGAAUUAGCAUAAGCGCUUCUAUUUAUUUAAUUUAAAAAAUAUAAGAUAUUAUCAAAUUGCUAGUUGAGAAAUGUUAUACUUUUUCGAUAUAUAUAUAUAUAAUCAGAGAUUUGUAGUUAGACAAAACAUAUCAUUAAGAUGGAAUCAACAUAUAAACAUAGGCUCUUAGCAUGCUUUUCAAAAGAAAAAUCAUGAAGUGGAGAAAAUUUGAAAAUAUAUAAUUUUAGAAUUGAUAAUGUGUAAAACCGUUGAAGGAUACGAAUAACAAAUUCUUAUAAGCAUUUUUGUUUUCUUUGAAGUUUGCAUUUUGACCGGUUUGAAUUUUGUAUAUAACGAAGACACUAGUACAACUUACAAACUACAUUAUCUAUACUAUUAAAAGGGAAGCAUUCUUAAAAAAAUCUACUUAUGUAAGGUUGUUUGGACCUAUUAGUUAGAUUAACACCAUAUAAUUCAGCAUAUUUUUAAGCAAAAGUAAUAUUCCAUACAUCAACUCAUAAUUUCCUUAAUGUACAAAAAGAGAUAUUGUAACUAACAACAAUAUUUUACCUAUCUAUACUAUUAAAAGGGAAGCAUUCUUAAAAAAAUCUACUUAUGUAAGGUUGUUUGGACCUAUUAGUUAGACUAACACCAUAUAAUUCAGUAUAUUUUUAAGCAAAAGUAAUAUUCCAUACAUCAACUCAUAAUUUCCUUAAUGUACAAAAAGAGAUAUUGUAACUAACAACAAUAUUUUACCUAUCUAUACUAUUAAAAGGGAAGCAUUCUUAAAAAAAUCUACUUAUGUAAGGUUGUUUGGACCUAUUAGUUAGACUAACACCAUAUAAUUCAGCAUAUUUUUAAGCAAAAGUAAUAUUCCAUACAUCAACUCAUAAUUUCCUUAAUGUACAAAAAGAGAUAUUGUAACUAACAACAAUAUUUUACCUAUCUAUACUAUUAAAAGGGAAGCAUUCUUAAAAAAAUCUACUUAUGUAAGGUUGUUUGGACCUAUUAGUUAGACUAACACCAUAUAAUUCAGCCUAUUUUUAAGCCAAAGUAAUAUUCCAUACAUCAACUCAUAAUUUCCUUAAUGUACAAAAAGAGAUAUUGUAACUAACAACAAUAUUUUACCUAAAGAGUUUAUUAUUAUUUCUUAAUACAGAAAAUAACUUAAGGAAAUAGUCAUAACAAACGGAUUAAUAUUAAUGUGCAUAUUUUUAAAUAUUAAUGUCCCAUUUUAAAACUAAUUUAUUUAUAUAUGUAGUAGAAAACAAUAUUAAAUUUUGAUGAAAUUUUAUUAAAAUUUACAAUUUUUUUUUAUUUUUUAACUUGAAUUUGCGAAAAUUGGGUUUUAAUAUUGAACUAGGUCCGAUUUAACUCAAAUUCGGUUUUUAGCACAACUCAGAACCAGUUAGAAGAGCGAGUCAGGAUCCGACUGGUUCGAUUGUACGGUCCAAUCAUAUUUUCAAAACAUUGGUUAAUACAGUUCAAUAAUUAAAAUAUAUUUUUUUAUUAAUGAAUAUCUUUACUAAUAAAAACAUACAUAUCAUCUUUAAAUCUAUUUCAAACAAAUCUCACACUAUAAAAAAUAAUGAAUAAUAAAAACAUUAAAAGUCAAUAGUUAUAAUGUGAAACAAAAAAAAUUAUACUAGAUUUAAAAUUUAUUAAAGAUUAAAAACCUCAAAUCCGCGCGGAUCAAAAUCUAGUUAUAUGUUAUAAUCGAUGAUAUAUCAUGUUUUUUCAGGAAUUAAGCUACUAUUUUAAAUCUCAUUUUGUAUAUCUUAUGACAUUUUAUGUCCAAAAUUUUGGAAAUUGUUAUAGGUUAAUUGUUUCGGUCCACAAACUUCACUACUGAGUUUUUUUCAAAAAAAAAAAACUUCACUACUGAGAUAAUUUUUACAUUUUAUAACAUCUAAAUCAAAAAGAAAUAAUUUCAUACAUUACAUUUACAACUGCAUGUACAAUGUAUGGUGAUGUAUUAAAUUUAUAGUUAGAUUUUUUACCUCUUGUACAUUCAUACUCUAUAUGUUUUGUGAGCGAAGAUGAGUUUGUUAUAUUAGCACUUUUGAAAGAAAAAAUAAUAUAAAUCUUAGGGAUACUGUUUAUAUAUAGUUUGUAAUCAAGAAGCUCACCGAGCUGCAAAUCGUGUUGAGAGGUAUAUGAUAUUGUUUAAUGUCUUACCUGUACAUUGCACAAUAAAUAAUAUGUCUGUUAACGAAAAUUUUUUUUCAAUUGAAGCACCAAUUGUGCAGGUCAUACAUUGCUUUGCUUUCUUUUUGUGUUACUUGAAACAAGAUAAAAUUUUGUUUUCUGUUACAAAGGUUUAGUCUCCAGAAAAACAGAAUGGCUAUAGGAAUUCAAUCGUUUUUAACUACCUUUUCGAUUUAUUAUAUAAUUAGUAAAUCACACAGAUAAGAAAAAAAAAACAGAACAAUACAAACUAAAAAAAGGACAUAGGUUUAGGAAGGGGUUAGAGAACAUUUUCCCUUAUAUAAGACAGAUUCAACAUUUGGUUUCCUUUGGCUCUCUCUUUGAGAAAGUUCCAUAAGUCCCACAGCCAACAAGUCGCUCUUGAAUUGAAUCUCAAACCCUAAUCUGCCCUGCACGAUUCUGAUGUUAUUCUAUAUUAAUUCUUCAGCUGUAAGGCUUUGAAUAAGUCUGUAAAUAAUCAUAUUUUAUUUUGAAAAGUUCAACAGAAACCCCCAAAAAAUAUAGUUUUUGUUACAUUAUAAAGUUGGAGUUGCCGGCAAGUUAUGACAGCCGGAGGCUGUUUGGACAUCCAAACAAUGUUGUUCGGUCGUAAAUCAUCGAGCAAGUUACAGGUAAAAUUGCUCUUGUUUUCGUGAAUGAUUUUAUGCUAAAUUUCUCUUGACUGAUUUUGAUUAUUCAUAUGCACAAAGUCCUUUCAUGUAUUCAGGAAAUCAUAUAAAUGAUAUAUAGAAAAGUCUUGGAUUAAUAAGUUUUUGUCUCUUGACUUAUUAUGUGUACCAGAUUUUUAUAAGCAUUCGUCUUGUCCAUGUUAGAUCAUCAGAUUGUAUCUUUUUGUUACAUGAUGAUGAAUAAUAAAGGAACUAAUUAACAGUUUUUCAUAAUAACAAUUUUCAGCCAAUAAAAAGCCAAGCGUCACCUAAAGUUAGCAAGGUUAAGAAGCAGGAUGAUAAAUCUUCUUCUUCUUCUUCUUCACCUAAACCUUCUUCUUCACCAAAACCUUCAUCACCUAUACCGAUUAGAUCAUCUAAGACAAUAUUAUCCGGGAGCCAACUAUCAUCAUCAUCGAGACGUGUUUCUUCGCCUAUGGGCAUCCUAAAGAAUGUUUCCAUUAGAGAAGCUAAGAGCCCAAAGACAACCAGCUCGCCUAAAUGGACAGGAAACUUUAUUCUUAUGGUCGAGCUUCGCAGAAAGAUCGUUACCUUUAGAGACAUCAUUGACCUUGCUCCUCUCGAGGGUUCUCCUUCAAUAACCGAUGUGAGUACACCACAAAGUUAGUUAUCCUUUUUAUUAAUAGUGUAUAUUUUUUGUACUCACAUCCUUUUUUGUUGUUGGAUAGAUGGUGAUGCAUACAAUGAAAGAUCUCCAAAAUCUUUGUCCUGAGAUUAUCCACAGCUCACAUAUAUCUGAAAUUAGACGCGCAAAUGUUGAUAAGGUAUUCAAAACAUGAGCUGAAUAUAUGACUUCCUCUGGUCCUUAGUUCAAAUAACUUGAGUCUGAUCAAUUGUUUAUCCCAUAGGUUCUUGACCAUUUCUUCAAUGCUUUGAAAUCCAUUGGAGAUUCAUGGAUCGAUAACCCAGAAUGGAUAGCUAAGUCUAAGUAUUGGAGUAGCAGCGUUGGAAAGAAUCAGUCCGAUCGACUAGGUAACAAUAAACGUUACUUUCACAAGAAAAUCAUUUCAAGACUUGAAAUUUCAAACUCUUUAAAAUGUUAUGUUUCCUUUGUAGUGGAAAAGGUGUUAGCAGCAUUAGAUGGACUGAUCAAGAUGUCUAAAGAGAGAUUUGAUAUGAUGGAGAUUGAUGAAGUGGAAGAGAAGAAAGAGUUGGUUAGUCCAAGGACUGCCAAAACAUCGAGCAGUCGAGUUUUAUCUCCAUCUGAUUCAUUCUCCGACAGCAGAAGCUCGUUUUGCGGCUCACCAAUCACGCCAAGAUCGGUCCUUCCAGAACCAAUGAUGAUGGGUUCGCCUGGUAAAGUUGGAGACUUUGCAAACUCUGCAUCACAUCUUCUGUGGAAUAUGAGAGUUCAAGCACUUGAGAAGCUCAGUCCUAUCGAUGUUAAGCGGCUCGCUAUUCACAUUUUGUCACAGAAAGAAGCUCAGGAACCAAACCAAAGCAAUGGAGAAGAAGUGAUUAAUGUUGUUGAAGAGAACAAGCAGAAGACGAAUGAGAUUGAUGUGAAGAUGGAGACAGAAGAAUCUGUUGUUCUAGAUGAGCAAGAAGAUACAUUCAUGAAAGUCUCUCCACUGGAUUCAACAUCUGAAUCCAAACUCAAUGCUUCAGUGAAAUCUGAAGUUGCACCAGCAUCUUUGUCACCACCACCACCUCCUCCUCCUCCUCCUCUAUCCACUACAAAAUCUGUAUAUUUAGCUUCUCAACCGCCACCUCCUCCUCCUCCGUCACCACCGCUGAUUACAAAGGCUAAUGUGGUGGCCAUAUCAUCAAUCCCACCUCCUCCGCCACUGCCACCAUCUCCACCUUCCAUUAUGCCUUUACAAGGCUCUAUUCCACCACCACCACCGCCUCCUCCUCCAGCAGCUGUGGCGGCCCCACAACCGCCGCCUUCACCUCCAAGAACCACAGUGGCGCCACCACUGCCUCCCCCACCUCAAGGGACUGCAGCUGCACCACCACCACCUCCUCCUCCUCCUCCACCGAUGCAAAACAUAGUACCACCACCUCCACCAAUGCCUAUAUCGAAUAGAGCCGGUGGUGGACCACCGCCUCCACCACCACCUCCUAUGGCAAAGGGAGCCUCACCUCCUCCGCCACCGCCUCCUAUGGCAAAGGGAGCCUCACCUCCUCCGCCACCACCUCGAAUGGCAAACGGAGCAGCACCGCCUCCUCCACCACCUCGAAUGGGUGUGGCAAACGGAGCAGCUGGUCCACCGCCACCUCCAGGAGCAGCAAGAAGCUUGCGACCCAAGAAAGCAGCUACUAAACUAAAAAGGUCCACCCAGUUAGGGAACCUAUACAGAAUCCUUAAAGGGAAAGUCGAAGGUCGUGAUCCCGAGGCAAAGAAAGGUGGCGGAAGCGGAAGAAAAGCCGGAGUCGGAAGCGCACCAGCCGGUGGAAAGCAAGGAAUGGCUGAUGCUCUUGCUGAGAUCACAAAGAAGUCUGCAUAUUUUCAGCAGAUUCAAGAAGAUGUUGCUAAAUACAUGAAAUCAAUCAACGAGCUGAAGGUUGAGAUCACUAAGUUCCAGACUAAAGACAUGACUGAGCUUCUUAGCUUCCACCGCCGUGUCGAAUCAGUUCUUGAAAAUCUUACAGAUGAGACACAGGUCAGUAACAUUUCAAACAUCUUAUUGCCAUCACUUCUAUGUCCACUGUUUUUGUGAUUCUUGAUUCUGAAAAUGUUUUGAAACUAUUAGGUUCUUGCGCGAUGCGAAGGGUUUCCACAGAAGAAACUUGAAGCAAUAAGAAUGGCUGUUGCAUUGUACUCGAAGCUGCACGGAGUGAUCACCGAGCUACAGAACUGGAAGAUAGAACCUCCUUUGGUUCAGCUUCUUGAUAAAGUAGAACGUUACUUCACAAAGGUAACUAGUUUACUUAAUUUCAUACCGUUUUAACAACAUCAUGUAACUAAAAUAUCCAAAAUAAAAAGAUCAAAGGAGACAUCGACACGCUGGACCGAACCAAAGAUGAAGAAGCUAAGAAAUUCAAGAGCCACAACAUCCACUUUGACUUCAACAUACUUCUUCAGAUCAAGGAGACAAUGGUUGAUAUCUCAUCAAACUGCAUGGAACUCGCAUUGAAGGUAAUUAAACAGCUAAAAAAUAUAACCUUUUAUUUUUAAGUAUUUUUAAAACCAAAGUUCUUAUCUGAUCAACCUAAAAUUCACAGGAAAAGAGAGAUGAAAAGCUUGUGUCACCUGAUGCAAAGCCUAGCAUUAAGAAGACAGUAGGAUGUGCUAAAAUGCUGUGGAGGUCAUUUCAGUUUGCAUUCAAAGUCUACACAUUUGCUGGAGGACACGACGAUCGAGCUGAUUCUUUAACCAGAGAGUUGGCUCAUGAGAUCCAAACUGAUACUCAGAAUCCUUGAUGUAUCCAUCGUUUCGAAUCAUGACUACUACUCCUUUUUGCCUUUCUAAACACCUAAAAAUAUUCCAAAAUGUUUGAUAUGGAAUGAUAAAAAAAAAGUAUAUGUAUAAUAUUUAACCUAUUGUUUUGGCUUUGAGUUUGUAAUUUUGAAGCCCACCCAAAAAGACUAGGAUUUAGAGGUUUCAUGGGAGCUCAGAGGUGCAGAGUUUUUUUAGUGAAAACCUAUAAAAACCUUUUGAGUCAAGGAAGACCAUUGUGUUGCCAGAAUAUGUAAUAUGGUUUUGUUGUUAUAAACUUUUUCUUUCUUUAAUUCUAGUUGUAAGGUACAAGUCGAAAUGGUGAUGACAAAACCUGGCAAAAGAAAUGAUAUAUAUUAACAGAAUUUAGCGAAAAGUUGAUGAUAGCGAGGCUAAAAAUAGGAAUCACAACCUACUUGUAGCUUUUAAAUAUGAUGAAGAUAUCAUCUUAGAUUACAAUAUUUAUCUCAUUACUCUAAGUUGGUAUGCGAAUAGAAUGGGAUUGGCUGAAGCCAGCAUGCUCUAAUACUGAGCACUGCAGUUGCAUUUGGAUAUCUGACCUUAUGUGUUGCUUUGUGAUAAGCAAAACAAAAAAGACGGGUUUAACCCUAAAAUUUGCCAUAAAUAACUAGAAGAAACAAACUUCGGAUCUACAAAUAACACAUAACACAUUGCUUGUUUUGUAGGGCUCCUCAAAAGUGGCAGAUAGAACAGCAAAUUUGUAUGUUCACAUCAUGCAGAUAUAUUUGUUCUUUUGUCUAUAUCUCUCUCUCUUGUGCGAAAAUUUACUUUGCAUGUUCUUGUUUUACUAAUGUAAAAAUGUUGUGACAAAAAAAAAACUAACGUAAAAAUGAAGAGUUACAGAAGAUACAAGAAUCAGACAUGAGUUUUUGAAUGAUGCUUCCUUCUUCAAUCCUAAAACUCUUACUCUCUCUGUUCCAAAGAUGAACAGAUAAGCUAUGUUUACGUAAAUGCAUAAGUCUCUUACGUGACCAAUUUGCCUCCCUCCCAUUCACGGACGCUCUGUAAAAUCCACUGAUCCUAGUCCAGUCCACCGGAUAAAACGAAGACGGUGGAAGAACAGAGAAUCCCAUAUCCGACGAACAGUUAGAAACGUUGAAUCUUGCAACCACUCUUGACACUAAGUAUGGACCGUUGUGACCCCAUUUGUUACCGUUGAAGGUUCUUGAGAACUCGUCGAUGAAGCUUUUAAGCAAAGGAUGGUUCUUGUCGAAGAUGAGCACCGCGUUGUUGAGCCUGCUCCAUUUCCUUGUAACCGGAUCAACCGUUUGUGCUCCGAUUACGUUGUGGAGACUGGUGAGAGGUUUGAGUAUUAUAACAUCUGUGUCUAAGUAGAUCCCUCCGAACUUGUAGAGCAAGACUAGUCUUAGAAUGUUAGAGAGGUUUUGCUCUAGUGGAAUCACUCCUGGACUGAACAUUCCUCUCUUCAGUCUUUCAAACCAUUUCUCUGCUGACGUGUCUUUGAAAAUGUAAGUGAAGUCUGGUUUGAUCGCGAGCACUUUAAGCCCUUUAUCUGUAAAGGGUUUCAAGAUGAGUGUUCCUCUCUCACAGUCAAGUGAGUUUGAGACCAAGAUCAGACAGCUAUUUGGGUGAGACUUGAAGAGACUCUCUAUAGUGAAACGUUCUCUUUCACCAAAAGAUUCGAUGGAGGAGAUCCAGAUCAUGAAGAACAGGGACUUGCAUGAGGAUUCGGACAAGAAUGACUUGAUCCUCGUCUUGAAUUUCUGUCUUGAUUUGCCUUGUGGCUUCUGUGUCAUCUCGGGUGUUAACCCGUUUCUUCUCUUCCGUCUCCUUGUCCUUCUCUCUGUCUUUAUUGGCGAAACUUUCUGCUUUUGUACGAACCCUGAAGAGGUUUCUUUCACCGCAAGCAACAUUGAAGAAUCUGACUUAGAUGAUGAUGUUAAAGUUGACCUUGACGAUGUUGAUGAUGAUGAUAAUGAUGGAUGAUGAUGAAGAACCUGGUGGUGGUUAUAAUUGAGUGAAAGAGUGGAUUUGGGUGGGAUUGGAUCAAGAUGAAGGGAGAAGGCAGAGAAGCUGUUGUAGAUUAAGAGAAGCAUGAGAAGAAGACCUAGAAGAGACAAUGGAAGACAACAAACCAAAGAAACUGUCAAAUUUUUCAACAUCUGCAAUAAAUCAACUUGUUCUGUUCUUCUGCUCUCCUCCAUCUUUUGUUCUCUCCAAACAAAUAUUUUAAAGACAGAGACUUGGUGUAAAAGAUUUCUUCAAGGAUAAAAGGGUGUUGUUGGUCUGUCUUAUGUGAUGAUGAUACAUGUUUGCUGAAUAUAUUAAACAAUUUUUUUUUUUUAACUUUCUUGGCAUACCGAAUAUACAUGUAUGAUGUAUCAUUCAUAAUAGGUGAAAGGGAUGAGUACUAAACUAUUAUUUAAAGAAGGGAAAUCUCCUAAAUAACUCAUUUUUAAUUUUUGUUCUAAAAAACCAACUAAAGUCAAAGUGACUAAAAUAGUGUGAAUCACAAGAGCCUUAUUGAAGAAGAAAGAGUUUUGACUGCAACACUUUUAUUCCUUUCAACUUGAUUAUAAAGAUACAACUCUAACUCUAUUUAUAUGCCAAGCGCAACCUCAAAACCCUAAUGAACCUCUACACGUGUUUGGAGGACAUUGAAUCUAUUCUUUGUUGCAAGGUGGUGAGCUGUACGCGGUGCCAAAGUGGUCCUGCUCGUCGUACGGUUUGGCUCUGCAAUAUGAACGUUGAGAGGUUGAGCUAAAGCAGGCUUUGUCUUCAUCUUUGACUGGUCUCCGAAACUCAUAUCAUUGGGCUUGGGCUUUGUUGUUGUCUUGGGCUCAGCCUGACUAAUACACCCCCUCAAACUUGGGGUCGGAGGAACAGAGACACCAAGUUUGUCCCGCAAACGGAAAAACGCUUCCUGACCAAGCGAUUUUGUGAAGACAUCGGCCAGUUGCAGAGAAGCGGGUAUGUGCUUAACUUCCAGCGUCUUGAGAGCCACUCUCUCACGCACAUAAUGAUAGUCGACAUCAAAAUGUUUGGACCGUUUGUGGAACAUGGGAUUUGCAGUGAGACACACGGCAGAAAGAUUAUCACACAGAAGAAGUGGCAUGCGCUGUUGUUGCAGACCCAUCACUCGAAGCAAAUUUUGCAACCAGACAAUCUCAGAAGCAGCAAGGGACAUGGUCCUGUACUCAGCCUCAGUAGAAGAUUUAGAAACUGUUUCAUGCCUCUUAGCAGACCAAGAAAUGACAUUGGAACCUAAUAGAGUGCAAAAGCCACCAGUUGAUCUUCUAGUUUCAGUGCAACCUGCCCAAUCACUGUCGCUGUAGCAGACAAGUGUGGAGUCUGAGGUAGCAUUGAUGCCAAUUCCCAUGUUCAGAGUUCCUUUAACAUAGCGAAGGAUUCUUUUGAGUAACAUGAAGUCGGAGCCAGUAGGUGAGUGCAUUCUUUGACAGAUAUAAUUGACAGAGAAUUGUAGAUCCGGUCUAGUGAGUGUUAAGUACUGCAGUUUACCUGCAAUGCUCCUGAAGUAAGAAGGAUCAGAGAAAAGUUCAUCUUGACCGGGAACAGUGGCCAGUUUUAAAGGCAAAGGAGUGGGCAUCGGAGCGCAAUCUUUCAUUCCUGCAUUGAUUAAGACAUCAGAAGCAUACUUCUCUUGAUUGAGAAAGAGACCAUUCGGAGUUUGAUGAACUUGAAUCCCAAGGAAGUAGUGUACAGAGCCCAUAUCUUUCAUGCGAAACACUUGACUGAGCUGAGCAACAAGAUGAUCCAGAAGCGUAUUGUUGUUGCCAGUAAGAAUCAUAUCGUCCACGUAGAGGAGAAGAUAGAUAACAUCUGAGCCAUGAUGAUAGAUGAAUAAGGAAGGGUCAGGGAAACUGCAGAUGAAUCCGAAGUCAAGCAAAAAAUUGCUAAACUUAUCAAACCAAGCACGUGGAGCUUGUUUUAAACCGUAGAUCGCCUUCUUGAGCUUCCAGACGUAGUCAGGUUUGUUGGGGUCGACAAAACCAGGCGGUUGUUUCAGAAACACAAUCUCCUUUAAAUCUCCAUGCAAGAAGGCGUUCUGAACAUCAAGUUGUUUCAGGGACCAUUUCUUUGUAACUGCCACAUGAAGAACAGUCCUAAUUGUUGCUGUACGAACAACUGGACUAAAUGUUUCUAUGAAAUCGAGGCCCUCCUCUUGCUCAUUGCCUUUUGCUACAAGUCUCGCUCUCGGUUUGAACACAGUACCAUCAGCGUGGUAUUUUGUUUUGUAAAUCCACUGACUUCCGAGGGGGUUCUGACCAUCUGCAGGUGGCACAAGCUCAAAUGUUUCUGUCUCAACCAUAUUAUCAAUCUCAGUUCCCAUUGCACCGUUCCAGCCAGGAUGACGCAAAGCAGCUUUGAGAGACUUGGGCUCUGCAUAAUCUUCUUUGAGCUUACUAAACGGUUAAAUGAAGAUUCUAUUUUUAUUUAUAAAUUUAAUUGGUUAAUUAUUAAAAUAUAUAUAAGUGUAUAUUAUAAUUGGAGACAUUCUCCAGACAAUUAUAAUACACACUUCUCAACUACUUGGGAUCAGGUCAGAAACAAAGCGGGAAGAAGUUCCUUGGAGUAGCAGUAUAUGAUUUGUGCAGGGUGUUCCUCGGUACUCUUUCAUUUCUUGGCUCGCUGUAAAAAAUAGACUCUCCACAUCUGAUAGAAUAAGGCUUUGGGGUAUACAGCAAGAGUGUAUCUUAUGCAGUGAGAAGGAUGAACGAGGGAUCACUUGUUCUUAGCUUGUCCUUAUGCCUAUACGGUAUGGAAUAGAAUGGCAGGAGGGCUCAUAGGGUCAAGGAUUAAACCCGGACUGGCAAGAUACUAUGAACUUUCUUCAGACAGGAGCAUCAACCAGGAUGGACAGGUUUCAUAAGAAUGGUAUUUCAAACUACAGUUUAUCAUGUUUGGAGGGAGAAAAAUGCACGCAGACAUCAAAAAGGUAUUCAAGGGACUGCUCAGCUUAUUCGAGUGAUUGAUAAAGCAAUCAGGAAUAGAGUUCUAGCACAGUAGCACUAGAUAUAAACCUAGCCUCCUCACAAACUGGAGGGCCCCUUGCUACGCUGGUUCGAAGUGUUUGACACUUAAGGCAUACGUCUUCAUCUUUCAGUUGAACAAGAUUGAUUAGUUCAUAAGCAUUUCUUUCCUUCUUUUGUAAAAGGCCCAUAGUUUUAUCGAUAAAUUUCAAAUUUUCAUUAAAAUUCUUUUUUUAUAUGAUAUAUAAUUUAAUUUAAACAAUAAUUAUAUAUAUUUUUAAUUUGAAUAUUUAUUAAAUGAAUAUUUAUAUUCAUAUUGUGUUAUAAUCAUUUAUAUAUUUAUAAUAAAAAUUUAACUAUUAAACACAAAAUUUUAAUGUGGAACUUUUAAUAAUUUUAGUAUAAUUUAAUAAUUUUCAAAUAUUCAAAGUAUGAUAAUAUAAAACUAAAAAAUGGUAGAUGAUAAAUAAAUUGUUUCCAAAUCUUUAUUAAUCAAUAUAAUUAAUUGUCAUAUAUAUUUUAAAUCAUAUUAAGUAAUUCUAUAACUUUUAUUUGAAGAAAGAAAGAAGAAAUUUUUUUUGAUUUAUUACUAAUUAAUUUUAUAGUUAAUCUAAUGAAAAAUAUAGUUUUUGUUUAGAUUUUAGAUCAAAUAAUGAAUGACAUGUAUUGUAAUUAUUUUAUUAAUUAAAACAUAUUUCUAUAGUAACUCUAAAAAUUGUUCUAAUGUUGACACAUUACCAUAGCAUAAAUGUUACAAUGCUUUUUAAAUAAUAUAUAAAGGAUGUCGUUCUUCUCCUCCCCAUUUACACCAGACAACACUGAGAAAAGCUUAAAUCAAACGUCAUUUUCUCCUUUAAAAGCCUUCUAAGUUCUUGUUUCUUUCAAAUAAUAAACAUCUUUUCUUAUCGUUUCAUUUUCACAAUUGAAAUGGAAUCCAUCACAAUGAUCCCUGAAACAUUCAAUGAAAAUGCAACCCAAAACAACCCUUUGAAAACGUUAUUUUCUCUUUUAAAAAGCCUUUUAAGUUCUUGUUUCUUUCUGAUAUCAAACAUCUUUUCUUAUCAUUUCAUUUUCACACAUGAAAUGGAAUCCAUCAAAACGCUCCCUCAAACAUUCGAUGAAGAUGCAACCAAAAACAACCCAUUGAUGAUCUUUGAUUCAGCUGACUUAAAUAAUAAAUCAGACAAGAUACCUCAAGAGUUUGUAUGGCCCGACCAUGAUAAACCCUCUACAAACGUUCCGAUCCUCCAAGUCCCUCUCAUCGACCUUGCUGGUUUUCUCUCUGGCAACCCAUUUUUGGUCUCGGAGGCUACAAGACUAGUGGCGGAAGCGGCAAAGCAACAUGGUUUCUUCCUAGUCAUCAACCAUGGAAUCGAUGAGAAGCUCUUGUCUGGUGCAUGUACACUAAUGGACAAAUUCUUCAAGUCACCGAGUUGUGAGAAACAUAAGGCUCAGAGAAAGUGGGGCGAAAGCUCGGGUUAUGCUAGUAGCUUUGUUGGAAGAUUCAAAAAAAAUCUCCCAUGGAAGGAAACGCUGUCGUUUGCAUUCUCCCCAGGGGAGAAGAGUGAGAACCACUCCCAAGAUGUUAAAGAGUUCAUCGUUAAGAAGAUGGGUGACGAAUACAAAGAUUUUGGGUAUAUGAGACUCUUUUUCGGUCUCGAUUGAUUAUUUGCUUUACUUUUUCAUUUUCGUUUAUAUGUUAUGUAGUAAAUAUCGUACGUAAAUCUUGUUCCAUGCAUAUAUGCAGGAUUGUUUAUCAAGAAUACGCGGAGGCCAUGAGCGAUCUUUCACUAAAGAUCAUGGAGCUUCUUGGAAUGAGUCUUGGCAUCAAUAGGAGCCAUUUCAAAGAGUUUUUCGAAGACAAUGAGUCGAUAUUUAGAUUGAAUUACUAUCCACAGUGCAAGCAACCUAAUGUUGUACUAGGGUCAGGACCGCACUGCGAUCCAACAUCUCUAACCAUACUUCAACAAGACCAAGUCAACGGUCUUCAAGCUUUCGUGGACAACCAAUGGCAAGCAAUACUUCCUAACCCUCAAGCACUGGUGGUAAACAUUGGCGACACUUUCAUGGUAACGUUUCCUUUUCUUCUAAUAUCAAUGAAUGAAAGAGCAAAUAUACUUUUGAAAUAAAAUCCGCAAAUUUAAACACUUGUUUUCUAAAAGUAUUUUAGGAGGUUUAAUCAAUGCAUAAAGUUAAAGCUAUAGGUUUUCGGAUAUAUCUAUAUAUAUCAUCAUAUCUGGAACUUCUCGAUGUUUUUAUCUUUUAAUCUUGUUUUUCUGUGUAUUUAGACAAAAUAUUUCAUAGAAACUUCUGAAUAGUUUGAGAAUUUUUUUUUUGAGAAACGAAUAGUUUGCGAAAUGGUGACUAUUAAUAUUACAAGAAACUGAAACAAGUUUUGUAUGGGAGCUUUGAUCAAUGCAUGAAGGAGAAGUGUUUUUAACAUGUAUAUAUAUAUAAAUUGGAGACUUUAAUUUCCCUAAAUUUUAUUUAGUAUAUGAUUUCCAAUAAAACUCUCAGAGAAGCUAUAAAUAGUUUGAGAACUGAGACUACUGAAUAAUACAAGAAUUUAACAAUUUUGCACUUUCCUGUUUUUCGGGAUUUUUUUUAAUUAUAGGCUCUAACCAACGGAAUAUACAAGAGUUGCUUGCAUCGAGCCUUAGUGAAUAGCAAAACCGAAAGAAAGACACUUGCAUUCUUCCUUUCUCCAAAAAUGGACAAAGUGGUGAGGCCACCAGCGGAAUUAGGAGGUGAAAGAGCAUAUCCAGAUUUUACAUGGUCUAUGCUUCAUGAGUUUGUAAUGAAACAUUAUAGAGCAGAUGAAAGCACGCUUGAUGAGUUCACAAAAUGGCAUACGAACAGAGGAAGUUUCUGACAAAAAAAAUUAUAGUGUGCUGUCGCUAGUGCAAUGCUGAGGGGUUUUGGAGCAAAAUAUUAGUUUAUUAAAGAACUAUAAUUUAGUUAUAAUGAUAUGUUAUAUUAUAUAUUGAAAAUACAUUAAUAUCAAAUAUAAAAUGGUAAAACAAAAUAUUUAAAUUUAAUUAAAAUAUGAUAAAUGAAACUGUAAAUAAAUUUAUAUAAUAGAUGAAAAUAUGAAUAUAUAAAAUGAGUUAAAUUCUUUUGAUAAUUUAUACAUGAAAAAAAUCAAUAGAAAGACAAAAACAGUUAAAUACAUAAAGUAUGAUAAUUGAUACAUUUACAAUAAAUAAAACAAAUAGAAAAUGAAAUAAAUUAUCUUAAAGAGAUUCUUUUUGUACAUCUAACAAAACGAUGAAGUUAAAUGCAUUUUCUUUAACUAAGUACACCAAAUAACAAAGGAAAUGAAACCCCAAAAAUUAGUAUUUUAGAAGGGGCCUGAAGUCUGUUGCCUUUUUUUCCAUGCCUAUGGCACGGCUCUGGCUGUCGCAUAUGCAGUAUUUAAGUUUCAUAAAUGGUUUUUCUUAAAUACUAUUUUUGAAGCUUUUCUUUUUCAUUAUCUUUCUUUAUGUUGUUGGAUUUAAUUAGGACUUAGGAGCCAUAUAUGAUAUAUGCAUAGCCUCGCUUCUAAUUAAUUGCAUACAUUUCACUUUUAAAAGAAAAAUGUGGACGUGUUCUUUUUUUUUUAAAGGCUUUCUAAUUAAAAUUAAAAGUACAGUUACAAGCUAUGAUCCAUGGAUCAUAUAUACAGUGAAACAAAGUUUAAUAAAGAUAGCAACAUGAAGCACUUAAGCCAACAACAAGCAUGAAGAUAGAAGGAAGACCACAAGGUCUAAAUGUGGACAUGUUCUUUUUUUUUUUUUUAAACACGUACUUGAUUAAUAUUAAAGAGUUAGUUGGGGGCAUUAAACUCCUCCCUAACAGACACAGGCUCAUACAAAUUUAAAGCGCUUUUAGCUAAUCUAUCGGCUUCUACAUUCCUCUCACGAGGAAUCCAAGCAAAAGAGCUAGUCUCAAAUUCAACAGCCAAGUUUCGAAUAUCUGAAAUUACGCUAAUCAGCUCUGCAAUGGUCACUCCGGUCGUGAGGCUUUGGAUGAGUUGAGCCGAGUCCGACUCGAACCUAAGGUUCCGUAGUUCCAAGCGUUGACAAGAGAGGACCGCUUCCCGGAGAGCGAGCCCCUCAGCCAUUAGAGGCGACGCAGUGUGCUCCAUUUGGAGUUGGAACGAAAUGCUCUGUGGAGCAGUGAGGAUAUUCCAUCCAAGACCCGCAGACAUCCGCGUCGCACACCAGGGAGCAUCUGAGCGCACCACCGUUACUCCACUUGAAGCUGGGAUACUCCUCGCCUGAUCUCUUUUACCGGCAGAAACCUCUGGUUUGCCAUUGAUGCUCCACUCUCGGGCCAAAGUUAUGGCCGAGGAAAGGGUGUCCUCAGGGGAAGCUGAGAAACCUUCAAACACUAGUUUAUUUCAGACUUUCCAGAUGGCCCAUAAUAUCCAAGGGAACAGGGUUCCAGAGGUGAUCCCGGCAGGUGGGAGCGUUUUUUGUUUACAUAUUGCAGGCCAGACAGCCAUCAAAUCUAUCAUUCCUCUAUAAUCCAUUUCCGAGAUAAAAGGCGCAAGUUGCCAUAUUUUUAAAGCAAAUGGACAAUGGAAGAGGAGAUGAAUGAUAGAUUCAUUGCAUCCGCAUCUUUUGCACUUUGGAUCCACUUCGAUGUGUCGUUCGAGCAGGCGUUCUCCCACAGGUAUGGCUCCUUUAAGUACUUUCCAUGAAAAUAGCUUAAUCUUUGGGGUACAGUCUAGGUUCCAGAUGUUUUGUUUCCAGUUGAAGGCUUCAUCUGAUGCCCUGGCGUCAGCCUCUAACUCCACUGCAGUGUAGUAUCCAGAUUUAACAGAGUAAUCCCCGGACUUUGUGCCUAACCAUAUCAGCGAGUCCUGAACUCCGGUGAGACUGGGUUUGAUACAGAGUAUCUUUGCCUCAUAAGCAGGUAGGAGAAGUCGGAUUUUUGUACGAUCCCAAUUUAUGCGAUCCGGUAGCAUCAAGUCUGCAACUGUUAGAGAUAUGCUCUGCUCGGUAGGCGGUCCCAUCGGGCGUUCUUGUUUAGAUAGACAGAGCCAGGGGUCUUGCCAUACAUGAAUAGACUGGCCAUCUCCAACGACCCAUCCAAUAUUUUUUAACAGGAGGUCACGUCCUAUCAACACACUACGCCAGCCGUGUGACGGUGUUGACGUUUCUAUGGCCUGGAAAAUGGUAGUCUCAGGGUAGUACUUUCCUUUCAGAAUUUUUCCCAGCAGGCAGGUCGGGUUCUUGAACAGCCUCCACCCUAUUUUGGCCAACAUCGCGUCAUUGAAGCUCUGGAAAUCUCGCAUACCAAGUCCACCAAUUCCUUUUGGUCUUGCGAUUGUGUCCCAAGAGACCCAAGCCAUCUUCUUGGUAUUUUCAUUAUUAUCCCACCAAAAGCGCGUGACAACAUAUUGGAUUCGAUUACACAAUGACACCGGUAGCUUGAAACAUGACAUCGAGUAAGACGGGAUAUGAGAGAGGACGCUUUGCAGCAUAACCAUCUUGCCAGCCGAGGAAAGGAACUUCGUCGACCAGCCUCGGGCUUUCUGUUUGAUGCGUUCCACGAUGGUUGAAAAGAGAUCCCUCUUUCGUCGUCCAAAGAGCUCCGGGAGUCCCAGGUACUUACCAACUCCGCCUUCUUUAUGUAUUUGGAUAACAUCCUUGAUCGAAUUCUUUAGGGCCAUCGGCGUGAAUCGAGAGAAGGUUACUGUCGACUUCUCGGGGUUGAUUGCCUGUCCCGAGGCCUCCUCGUAUGUUCUUAAGAUCUCUGUCAGUGCCCGGCCGUUGCUUUCACUAGCGUUGAUGAAGAACAUAGUGUCGUCCGCAAAUAGUAAGUGGUUAACUCAGGGGCAACCUCUCGCAACCUUGAUCCCUUGGAUUGCUCCUUCCUCAUGUGCUCUGUUACAUAAUCCCGAGAGAACUUCACUAUACAUUAUAAAUAUGUAGGGAGAGAGGGGAUCGCCUUGACGAAUUCCUCUACUCGGUACUAUCUUCCCUUUAGGCAAGCCGUUAAUGUGGACAUGUUCUGUUUUAUAAAAAAGAAACAAAAUGAAUUUUCUGAAUGACUAGGAUGUACUAGAUUUUUUGGCUCGUAUAUCCUCUGGAAAGAAUUUAAUAUCUUUCGGAAUGUAAUAAUAUCUUUUGGAAUGUAAACAAAAUGGAUUUAAUAUCUUUUGGAAUGUAAAAGAUAUUAUUACAUUCACACCAUUUUGUUUCUUUUCGCUACGAUGAAAGAUAUUAAAUCCAAUUUGGUUACCAGUCACACCAUUUUGUUUCUUUUCGCUACGAUGAAAUAAUUUUGAAAAAGUAACUUCUCUUAUUUUGAUUAUGUUCGUUUCGAUGUUCAUGUAACCUGCGAUCGCGACCUUAAAUAAAAUAUUGUUCUUUUGUUUGUUGAAAGAACAAUUGUUUUUUAAGUUGUUUAAAUUGUCAGCAAAAUGAAAUUUUGAGUAUGAUUGGUCAACGAAGACCAAUUGGCUGAAUUUAUCCAUGCAUAUAUAUAUGUUGAGAAUCGACGCCUUCGAUUGACUUUAAACUCAAUCAUAGAACACACUUCGAUUUAGUCCGGUACAUGUAUUAAAAUCGGUACAUCGGUUAGGACCUGUCGGUCCCUAAGUUUCGAUAGAAGACGUUGGAAAACACCUUCAUGACCCUAAAAUACAUACGUAAUAGUAAAGCCAUGUUCGUUUCGUUAUCGCCGAUUCCAGCGGCAGCGUUCAAAAAUAUAAGGCAACAGAGACAAAAAAAAACAGAAUCAAAGGUAAAAGCAAUCGCUCAUCAACUGCCAGAGACACUAGAAAACGAGACGCAGUGACGCUGAAAUUUUCCGCGUCGUUUAGUUCAUUGUUAACUGCCGCAGCGUCUGGAAAACAAGUCAUUAAUGCGUCACCGGUGCUGUACGAUGCCAUGAUGAAAGGCUUAAUUAUCUGACGCUGACGCUGCGUCCAGCGUUGAUAAAACGAACAGGCCUUAAGUCGGUGCUGAAGUUUAAUUGCCUCUUUACUUUGUAACCUUCUUCUUUAAAUAGGAUGUUUACCAAUCUUCUAGUGGAUUGUACUUUUCAAUGCACUUCCAAAGAGUUUGAAAUUUUGUGAACCAGAGAGUGUUACACAAGAACAAUUGAGGUGCUAGAGUCCGUUAUGAGACUGUGAUGUGGCAUCUAUCCAUUGGUGGAAGAAGAUUUGCUUUGCUGACAACUAACAAGAUUUGGUGUUAUCACAACAAAUUGGAGUCGGCUAUAUAUAACGCUCUAGAGAAGGCUCAAGUAUCAGUCUAAUAACUGGUUCAGGAUCCGGUUUAGAGAAAACCGGGAGAGUGUGACGUGUGGAAGUAGCGCUCUGGAUUCUUUGAGUCAUCAUAGCUCAAAGUGGACAAAAAACAAUAUUUUGUAACGUAUCAAAGAAUUUCCUCUUCGAUAUUUUUACUUAGAGAGAGAGAGAGAGAGAUCUUCUCUUUCAAGUUCUAGAGCUUUCUCCGCCGAUUUCAUCUCCUUUAGCCAUGGUAAUUAAAAAAAAAAACUAUUUUCAGUCUUUCUUGCCUUCAUAUUUCACGUCUCUCUGGAUUCUCUGCUAAUUUUGGAUUGUGGUAUGGCUUUUACGUUGUCUAGGAAAAUCGAUGGAAACAAAAGAAAACUGAAAUGCAUGCUAUAUGUUAGAUUUUGUAAUUGUUUAAAAUUAAUAAGAAAUUAGCAGUAGUUUCAAGUAAGUGGUUAAAACCAAAUAGAUUUAUGUAAAACUUGCAUGUGAAAUUCCAACUUUAAAGUUUGUUCAUGAUGAUCUUGAUAGCGUGAAAAUCAAGAAUUUUAGCUUUAAAAGUCAUUGGAGGAGGUGCUAGUGUGAGUUGGUUGAAUGUUGUUAAACUGAUCACAAAGAAGAAUUUUUUGUUUUCAUUGAUUUUAUUUUUUAAGUUAGUUUGUAUUUGUAGUAAGGUUGGAAUAGCAUGUGGUGAAGAUGUUGUUUAGCAGUUUGACUUCCCUGGAUCCAUAGGAAAAAGGAUAAUUAGGCCUUCUCUUAAUGUAAAAACUGAGACUUUGAAGUUAUUCUCAAACGUUGUUCUAUCAUUAGAUCAUAUAUCCUUUUAUGAUUUGCAAUAUCUCACAAUCUUUAAGCUUUCUUGUGUUUUAUUUGUUCACAUAGGAGUUACCCCCAAAAGUGAAGAACAUUCUGCUUCUUGAUUCUGAAGGAAAGCGCAUAGCCGCUAAGUACUACUCUGGCGACUGGCCAACAAAUACGGCUAAAGAAGCAUUCGAAAAAGCUGUCUUCUCAAAGACUCAAAAAACAAACGCUCGCACCGAAGGUAAGUAUUUUUUUUAUAUGAUAUAUGCAUAGCCUCGCUUCUAAUUAAUUGCAUACAUUUCACUUUUAAAAGAAAAAUGUGGACGUGUUCUUUUUUUUUUAAAGGCUUUCUAAUUAAAAUUAAAAGUACAGUUACAAGCUAUGAUCCAUGGAUCAUAUAUACAGUGAAACAAAGUUUAAUAAAGAUAGCAACAUGAAGCACUUAAGCCAACAACAAGCAUGAAGAUAGAAGGAAGACCACAAGGUCUAAAUGUGGACAUGUUCUUUUUUUUUUUUUUAAACACGUACUUGAUUAAUAUUAAAGAGUUAGUUGGGGGCAUUAAACUCCUCCCUAACAGACACAGGCUCAUACAAAUUUAAAGCGCUUUUAGCUAAUCUAUCGGCUUCUACAUUCCUCUCACGAGGAAUCCAAGCAAAAGAGCUAGUCUCAAAUUCAACAGCCAAGUUUCGAAUAUCUGAAAUUACGCUAAUCAGCUCUGCAAUGGUCACUCCGGUCGUGAGGCUUUGGAUGAGUUGAGCCGAGUCCGACUCGAACCUAAGGUUCCGUAGUUCCAAGCGUUGACAAGAGAGGACCGCUUCCCGGAGAGCGAGCCCCUCAGCCAUUAGAGGCGACGCAGUGUGCUCCAUUUGGAGUUGGAACGAAAUGCUCUGUGGAGCAGUGAGGAUAUUCCAUCCAAGACCCGCAGACAUCCGCGUCGCACACCAGGGAGCAUCUGAGCGCACCACCGUUACUCCACUUGAAGCUGGGAUACUCCUCGCCUGAUCUCUUUUACCGGCAGAAACCUCUGGUUUGCCAUUGAUGCUCCACUCUCGGGCCAAAGUUAUGGCCGAGGAAAGGGUGUCCUCAGGGGAAGCUGAGAAACCUUCAAACACUAGUUUAUUUCAGACUUUCCAGAUGGCCCAUAAUAUCCAAGGGAACAGGGUUCCAGAGGUGAUCCCGGCAGGUGGGAGCGUUUUUUGUUUACAUAUUGCAGGCCAGACAGCCAUCAAAUCUAUCAUUCCUCUAUAAUCCAUUUCCGAGAUAAAAGGCGCAAGUUGCCAUAUUUUUAAAGCAAAUGGACAAUGGAAGAGGAGAUGAAUGAUAGAUUCAUUGCAUCCGCAUCUUUUGCACUUUGGAUCCACUUCGAUGUGUCGUUCGAGCAGGCGUUCUCCCACAGGUAUGGCUCCUUUAAGUACUUUCCAUGAAAAUAGCUUAAUCUUUGGGGUACAGUCUAGGUUCCAGAUGUUUUGUUUCCAGUUGAAGGCUUCAUCUGAUGCCCUGGCGUCAGCCUCUAACUCCACUGCAGUGUAGUAUCCAGAUUUAACAGAGUAAUCCCCGGACUUUGUGCCUAACCAUAUCAGCGAGUCCUGAACUCCGGUGAGACUGGGUUUGAUACAGAGUAUCUUUGCCUCAUAAGCAGGUAGGAGAAGUCGGAUUUUUGUACGAUCCCAAUUUAUGCGAUCCGGUAGCAUCAAGUCUGCAACUGUUAGAGAUAUGCUCUGCUCGGUAGGCGGUCCCAUCGGGCGUUCUUGUUUAGAUAGACAGAGCCAGGGGUCUUGCCAUACAUGAAUAGACUGGCCAUCUCCAACGACCCAUCCAAUAUUUUUUAACAGGAGGUCACGUCCUAUCAACACACUACGCCAGCCGUGUGACGGUGUUGACGUUUCUAUGGCCUGGAAAAUGGUAGUCUCAGGGUAGUACUUUCCUUUCAGAAUUUUUCCCAGCAGGCAGGUCGGGUUCUUGAACAGCCUCCACCCUAUUUUGGCCAACAUCGCGUCAUUGAAGCUCUGGAAAUCUCGCAUACCAAGUCCACCAAUUCCUUUUGGUCUUGCGAUUGUGUCCCAAGAGACCCAAGCCAUCUUCUUGGUAUUUUCAUUAUUAUCCCACCAAAAGCGCGUGACAACAUAUUGGAUUCGAUUACACAAUGACACCGGUAGCUUGAAACAUGACAUCGAGUAAGACGGGAUAUGAGAGAGGACGCUUUGCAGCAUAACCAUCUUGCCAGCCGAGGAAAGGAACUUCGUCGACCAGCCUCGGGCUUUCUGUUUGAUGCGUUCCACGAUGGUUGAAAAGAGAUCCCUCUUUCGUCGUCCAAAGAGCUCCGGGAGUCCCAGGUACUUACCAACUCCGCCUUCUUUAUGUAUUUGGAUAACAUCCUUGAUCGAAUUCUUUAGGGCCAUCGGCGUGAAUCGAGAGAAGGUUACUGUCGACUUCUCGGGGUUGAUUGCCUGUCCCGAGGCCUCCUCGUAUGUUCUUAAGAUCUCUGUCAGUGCCCGGCCGUUGCUUUCACUAGCGUUGAUGAAGAACAUAGUGUCGUCCGCAAAUAGUAAGUGGUUAACUCAGGGGCAACCUCUCGCAACCUUGAUCCCUUGGAUUGCUCCUUCCUCAUGUGCUCUGUUACAUAAUCCCGAGAGAACUUCACUAUACAUUAUAAAUAUGUAGGGAGAGAGGGGAUCGCCUUGACGAAUUCCUCUACUCGGUACUAUCUUCCCUUUAGGCAAGCCGUUAAUGUGGACAUGUUCUGUUUUAUAAAAAAGAAACAAAAUGAAUUUUCUGAAUGACUAGGAUGUACUAGAUUUUUUGGCUCGUAUAUCCUCUGGAAAGAAUUUAAUAUCUUUCGGAAUGUAAUAAUAUCUUUUGGAAUGUAAACAAAAUGGAUUUAAUAUCUUUUGGAAUGUAAAAGAUAUUAUUACAUUCACACCAUUUUGUUUCUUUUCGCUACGAUGAAAGAUAUUAAAUCCAAUUUGGUUACCAGUCACACCAUUUUGUUUCUUUUCGCUACGAUGAAAUAAUUUUGAAAAAGUAACUUCUCUUAUUUUGAUUAUGUUCGUUUCGAUGUUCAUGUAACCUGCGAUCGCGACCUUAAAUAAAAUAUUGUUCUUUUGUUUGUUGAAAGAACAAUUGUUUUUUAAGUUGUUUAAAUUGUCAGCAAAAUGAAAUUUUGAGUAUGAUUGGUCAACGAAGACCAAUUGGCUGAAUUUAUCCAUGCAUAUAUAUAUGUUGAGAAUCGACGCCUUCGAUUGACUUUAAACUCAAUCAUAGAACACACUUCGAUUUAGUCCGGUACAUGUAUUAAAAUCGGUACAUCGGUUAGGACCUGUCGGUCCCUAAGUUUCGAUAGAAGACGUUGGAAAACACCUUCAUGACCCUAAAAUACAUACGUAAUAGUAAAGCCAUGUUCGUUUCGUUAUCGCCGAUUCCAGCGGCAGCGUUCAAAAAUAUAAGGCAACAGAGACAAAAAAAAACAGAAUCAAAGGUAAAAGCAAUCGCUCAUCAACUGCCAGAGACACUAGAAAACGAGACGCAGUGACGCUGAAAUUUUCCGCGUCGUUUAGUUCAUUGUUAACUGCCGCAGCGUCUGGAAAACAAGUCAUUAAUGCGUCACCGGUGCUGUACGAUGCCAUGAUGAAAGGCUUAAUUAUCUGACGCUGACGCUGCGUCCAGCGUUGAUAAAACGAACAGGCCUUAAGUCGGUGCUGAAGUUUAAUUGCCUCUUUACUUUGUAACCUUCUUCUUUAAAUAGGAUGUUUACCAAUCUUCUAGUGGAUUGUACUUUUCAAUGCACUUCCAAAGAGUUUGAAAUUUUGUGAACCAGAGAGUGUUACACAAGAACAAUUGAGGUGCUAGAGUCCGUUAUGAGACUGUGAUGUGGCAUCUAUCCAUUGGUGGAAGAAGAUUUGCUUUGCUGACAACUAACAAGAUUUGGUGUUAUCACAACAAAUUGGAGUCGGCUAUAUAUAACGCUCUAGAGAAGGCUCAAGUAUCAGUCUAAUAACUGGUUCAGGAUCCGGUUUAGAGAAAACCGGGAGAGUGUGACGUGUGGAAGUAGCGCUCUGGAUUCUUUGAGUCAUCAUAGCUCAAAGUGGACAAAAAACAAUAUUUUGUAACGUAUCAAAGAAUUUCCUCUUCGAUAUUUUUACUUAGAGAGAGAGAGAGAGAGAUCUUCUCUUUCAAGUUCUAGAGCUUUCUCCGCCGAUUUCAUCUCCUUUAGCCAUGGUAAUUAAAAAAAAAAACUAUUUUCAGUCUUUCUUGCCUUCAUAUUUCACGUCUCUCUGGAUUCUCUGCUAAUUUUGGAUUGUGGUAUGGCUUUUACGUUGUCUAGGAAAAUCGAUGGAAACAAAAGAAAACUGAAAUGCAUGCUAUAUGUUAGAUUUUGUAAUUGUUUAAAAUUAAUAAGAAAUUAGCAGUAGUUUCAAGUAAGUGGUUAAAACCAAAUAGAUUUAUGUAAAACUUGCAUGUGAAAUUCCAACUUUAAAGUUUGUUCAUGAUGAUCUUGAUAGCGUGAAAAUCAAGAAUUUUAGCUUUAAAAGUCAUUGGAGGAGGUGCUAGUGUGAGUUGGUUGAAUGUUGUUAAACUGAUCACAAAGAAGAAUUUUUUGUUUUCAUUGAUUUUAUUUUUUAAGUUAGUUUGUAUUUGUAGUAAGGUUGGAAUAGCAUGUGGUGAAGAUGUUGUUUAGCAGUUUGACUUCCCUGGAUCCAUAGGAAAAAGGAUAAUUAGGCCUUCUCUUAAUGUAAAAACUGAGACUUUGAAGUUAUUCUCAAACGUUGUUCUAUCAUUAGAUCAUAUAUCCUUUUAUGAUUUGCAAUAUCUCACAAUCUUUAAGCUUUCUUGUGUUUUAUUUGUUCACAUAGGAGUUACCCCCAAAAGUGAAGAACAUUCUGCUUCUUGAUUCUGAAGGAAAGCGCAUAGCCGCUAAGUACUACUCUGGCGACUGGCCAACAAAUACGGCUAAAGAAGCAUUCGAAAAAGCUGUCUUCUCAAAGACUCAAAAAACAAACGCUCGCACCGAAGGUAAGUAUUUUUUUUAUCCUAGUGAAUUAUGUUUUGUAGUAUAAUCAUUUGUCUUGAUUGCUAGUUCUUGAUACGCAGUUGAAGUGACGGCACUGGAGAACAACAUCAUUGUGUACAAAUUUGUGCAAGAUCUUCAUUUCUUUGUUACGGGAGGUGAAGAAGAAAACGAGCUUAUCUUAGCCAGUGUGCUUCAGGGUCUCUUCGAUGCAGUGAAUCUCCUCCUCAGGUCUUGCCUUAUCAUAGCUACAGUUCUCAUAUUACCUCAAGUUUUUAGACUUUCUUUUCUUUCUAAACAUUAAAUUACAGAGGCAAUGCUGAUAAGAGAGAGGCAUUGGACAAUCUUGAUCUCAUCUUUCUAUGCUUUGACGAAAUCAUCGAUGGCGGGUCUGUAAAUGUUCUCCUCCUUUCAACAUUUCGUUAGAUAAAUAAAUCGUUUCCUAGGCUACUUACUUGUAUACUCUGAAGUACUACUACUCUUAUUAUAUCUGUUCAGUAUUGUCCUGGAGACGGAUGCAAAUGUGAUAGCAGAAAAGGCAGGAAUCAAUAGCAUUGACCCUAACGCUCCUCUAUCCGAGCAGGUGUUUUCUUGUUCUAAAUGUGAUAUUUUUUCUUGUUAGAAAUGUAACUAUCUCAAGUAACAAAUAACUAAUGAACUUGUUACAUAUCUGUGUGUGUGUGUGUUGUUUUGGUUUGGCUUCAGACGAUAAGUCAGGCACUGGCGACGGCAAGAGAGCAUUUGACAAGGUCACUUAUGAAAUGAUGUGCGUGUAUUGCUUAUUUGCUUUCUAGCUAAUGUUGGUUGGUUGGUUGUUAUCUAAGUAUGAACUGAAUGAAGACUAUAACUGUGUGUCAGUUUGUUUGUCUCUGUUGGUUGACUCUUAGUCACAAUUACGAGUAAGAUAAUAAAAAUCAAAGUUUAUAUUUGUUUCUUUUUCAUGUUUAUACAAAAGUAAAUUACAAAACAUAGAUCAAGUACAAAAUAACUCACGCACAUCAUUAAUUUUAAGCAUUUACUUAAAAUGAUCAUCAAAUACUGUCACCAAUUUUUUUUGUUUGUCAUCAAUUCAACUAAUAUUUUGCGAAACAAACUGGUAACUUAUAAACUACGGUAACUUAUAUUAUGAACACCGGUUGAAUCUGAACAUUGCGUAUCAGGCUAUCCGUCUGUGUACUCGAUAUUAUGGACGACGGUCGAAUUUGAACAUUGCGUAUCAGGCUAUUCGUCUUUGUAUUAUGUGUUCGAGUCUCCCUUGUAUUUUGCGUUAUUGAUACAUGUAUCAAUUCUGUGUGAUUAAAAUUCUUUUUUUAGUCUCUGAAAAUUUCUCAAGUAUGUCUCUAAAAUUCAUUCUUUUGGUUCUGAAAUGAUUUUCACUAUUUGAGAACAAUCAGUUGUAGAAAUUACAUGGAAUUUAUGAAAGUUGUUCAUGCAUUACAUUGCUCAAAUAAAGGCUUCUAAUUCCAAAUGAAUGAGUGAAAGGAUGGCUCUCGUGUUUAUUGUCCCAUUAAUCCAUCAAAACCUUCUAAAGUGCUAUAUCACCUUCUCCCGCGUAAUUAUCAUUUUCUUUCAAUGAUUCAUUUGUGAAGCACCAGGUAUCUGGGGUAAAGUUGCCGACUGCACCUCUCUAUCUUGAGUGACACAUUGUGUUAUUGUUUUGUAAAGUAUUGAUUCUGCCUCUACCAAUUGAAGAGUAUUUCUUAGAUCGACGUCGAUGUUAAUGAAGACCUUAUUGCUUAGCCCUUUCCAAAUAUACCAUAAAAGCAAUGGAAACUAAUGAUUAUCCCGUGAAGGUGGAAUCCUCCAGUACAAGUAAAUCAUAUUUGCAUAAACCAUUUGUAAAAAGAAGAUGUCUGGAUUCGAUUGGAUCCUUGAGAUAGCUUAUGUUUGGACUACUGAUGGACAUUCAAAGAAAACAUGAUUUAUUGAUUCCUCUUUUGCUCCACUGCAUGUACACCGAGUGUCGCUUUAUAUAUUUUUAACCCACAUAUAUUUUUUUUUACCGAAAGACAUCUUAAUACUAAUUGCCAUAAAAUGCUUGAUCUUUGGUAGGCAUUGUAUUUUCCAAAGGAAAAACUUUUAAUGGAAUGCUUUUGAACAUUCACCAAUUACUUAUUAAUGACAUUUUAUUAUUUUUAAUUGUGUACUUAAAUUUUUUUUAUUAAAAACUACUCCUUCUGUUCCCAAAAGUAGGAUUUUCUAGAGUUAUUUUUUGUUCCAAAAUAAUAGAUUUUUCUAGAAUUUUAAAGUACUUUUAGUAGUUAAUGUUGAUAAAUUGUAUAUUUUAAAAAACAUUAAUUGAAAAUAUUUAAAUUGAUUAAAUUUUAUUGGUUGAUAGUUAUUGGAAAAUGUAUAGUGAAAUAAACAAUAAAUUCAAUUGUAAACAUUUAUUAUUUUUUUAAUAUACGUGAAUACUUUAUAAAUUUUUUUUUUCAGGAACAGAGAAAGUAGUUAUAAAAAACAUUUUUUGGUGUAAAGUUAUAAAAAAAAACAUGUUGCAACUGAAUAUUUUUACCCAAUUUUUUUCUUUAGUAAAGAAACCAGUUACAUACAACGCUGAUGAGCUGAGAAUCUUUAGAUGGUGGCAAUUUGCAAUAUUUUUACAAUACAAUCCACUAAUCGUUUAUGUUAUUUAAGAAAAAAUAAAUCAACGAAAUUAUAAUUUAAAAAAAAAAACAAGAGAAGGUUACGCAAAAAUGUCGACAUACUUGGCGUGUGCCUACAACAUUCUAGAGAAUUGAUUACCAAAUGUCUCCCUUCUCUUAAAAAGUCGACUCUAAACCCGUUGCCCAAACUGCAUCAGGAUGUCGACAUUACUUGUUCCUUUCUCCAACUUAUAUUUUAUUUCUGUAACCAACCUAUCGAGAUUCUCGUACUUACCCUCCCACUCAUUCAUGUUGUUGGAUGUUUCCGGGAUAUCCUCUUACGCAAAUCUCUCCACUUUUUUUUUCAUGAUCCCAACGAGAUCUUCUUCUUAGUCACCCAAUGUUCGUCAAUCUCUGAUUUGAUCCCAUCCUUUGCAAUUUGUGAUAUUGAAUUGAAAAAAAGCUGAUUCUGGGUUUUAUUGUUUAGGUUCUUUGGAACUUGUUCCCUCUCUCAGGUAUUUCAUCGAACACCUUGUCAACAAUCUCCAGUGAAAGAAUGAUUCAUACUUUUUUUUCCUUCUUAAUUUAAAGUCUUUGCAUCUAAUGUGAAGGUCUUCGCAAUCUCACAUUGAGUUUAAGAAUUUUACACGAACUUACCUGUUUAAAGAUUCAUUCUUUUGUUCUGUUCUGUUUUAUCUGCUUAAAGAUUCGUAGUUUUCUUCUGUUAUGUUUGGUUCUAUUCUGUUCUGUUUCAUCUGUUUAAAGAUUCUUACUUUUGUUCUGUUCUGUUUUAUAAGAUUCAUACUUUUCUUCUGUUAUGUUUGGUUCUAUUCUGUUCUGUUUUAUCUGUUUAAAGAUUCUUACUUUUGUUCUGUUCUGUACUAAAAAAACAGCAACAGAGUCCAUUUUGCAGAUAGUUCCGGACACAAUGGCUGCUUCAUCAUCAACCAUCCUCUGCAAUGCCUCCGAGUCAGACCCUUGUCGUGACGACUCCGCAGCGUUUCUACUGAAGCUAGUAGCCAUUGCAUCCAUCCUCUUAUCCGGUGCAGCAGGUGUAUCUGUACCACUCAUUGGCAGGAACCGCCGGUUCCUUCAAACCGACGGCAGCCUCUUUGUAACCGCUAAAGCCUUUGCAGCAGGUGUGAUCCUCGCCACUGGGUUUGUUCACAUGUUAGCCGGAGGCACAGAGGCUUUGAAGAACCCGUGCUUGCCGGAGUUCCCUUGGUCUAAGUUUCCUUUCCCGGGGUUCUUUGCUAUGGUUGCUGCUUUGAUCACUCUGCUUGUGGAUUUCAUGGGGACUCAGUACUAUGAGAGGAAGCAAGAGAGGGAAGCUGAUGAUGAUCAGUUGCAGGGUAUUGUUGUUCCCUUGGUUGGUGAAGGAGGAUGUAACGAUGAGAAAGUGUUUGGAGAAGAAGACAAUGGUGGAAUUCACAUUGUUGGCAUUCAUGCUCAUGCUGCUCACCAUAGACAUAGUCACCCUCAUGGUCAUGGUUCGUGUGAUGGACACAGUAAAAUCGACAUUGGUCAUGGACAUGGACACGUGCAUGGGGGUUUGGAGCUUGGAAGUGGUGCAAGGCAUGUUGUUGUUUCUCAGGUACAAACUCUUUCUUGAUUCUUGUACAGCUUUAAAAUGUCCAAAAAUGAAUCUUUAUAUGAUUUGGUUAGGUUUUGGAGCUUGGGAUCGUGUCACACUCCAUUAUCAUCGGCAUAUCACUUGGAGUAUCUCAGUCUCCAUGCACAAUCCGGCCACUCAUCGCAGCACUAUCCUUCCACCAAUUCUUUGAAGGGUUUGCGCUCGGUGGAUGCAUCUCCCAAGCGCAGUUCAGGAACAAGUCAGCGACCAUAAUGGCAUGCUUUUUCGCCCUCACGACGCCUAUAGGGAUAGGGAUUGGAACUGCAGUGGCGUCGUCUUUCAACUCUCACAGCGUUGGAGCGUUGGUCACGGAAGGUGUAUUGGAUUCGCUGUCGGCAGGGAUACUUGUGUACAUGGCUUUGGUGGAUCUUAUAGCUGCUGAUUUCUUGAGUAAGAGGAUGAGUUGUAACUUUAGGCUUCAGAUUGUUUCUUAUUUGAUGUUGUUCCUUGGAGCUGGACUCAUGUCUUCUCUUGCUAUUUGGGCUUAGAUUGUGAGAUUCUUUCUUUUGUUAUAGCUGCUACAAACAAUGUGUAUAGUUCUAGAAUAAUCAAAUCUCGGAUGAGUUAUUCUUUCUUCUGUUGCCUGGAUGUUUUUGUUCUACAGUUUCCUUAUAAAAUAGAGGAAUUGGAAUUAAGUAUGCGAAAAAAAUAUAUUAAAAAAGUAUCUCCAAUGUUCAAAGACAAUGUUUUGAGAUUAUAAAAAUAAAAAAAAUAAAUAAAAGGGAGAUAAGGUUAGAUUUUCAUCAAAGGUGCACCACUCAUAGUCCUCAAAGAAACUGUACUUCCAGUGUUCAAAGAUAACGUUUAGAUUCUCAUCAAAAGUUCUUCAGAAAUUGCAUUACCAUAAGUUUGAAACAGUUAUCCAUUGAUCUAACCAAAAGAUGGUCCAAACCAAGAACAAUUACAACAGACAACAAUAUAGAUUAUACUAAAGUAACAACAAACUCAACCCAAAAUGUAAAGACAUGAAUGAUUAUGAAACCAUCAAAAGCAGCAUGUUAAUGGAGCUUUUGUCUUAAACAAUGUCAUCUUCUCUGUGGGUCUCAAUGGUAACAUCAGAAGUAGGAUAAGCCGCACAGGUGAGAACAAACCCUGCAGCAAUCUGGUCAUCAUCGAGGAAACUCUGGUCAGACUGGUCAACAAAACCAGACACAACUUUACCUGCACAGCUCGAGCAAGAACCGGCACGGCAAGAGUAAGGCAAGUCGAUCCCGGCUUCCUCAGCAGCGUCGAGGACGUAAACGUCGUCGUCGCACUCAACCUCUUGCUCUCCUUCGGGAGUGAUGAACUUGACCUUGUAUGUAGCCAUGGCUGUGACGCGUCCACCACGUGCGGUUCCUGACUUGAGGCCGAAGAGGGUCUGAGUGUUGGCUAAGGGGAGGGAACGGAGGCUGAUGGGAGAUGUUUGACGGCGGAGGAAGGAUGUUCCGACGAUGACGCUUGAGAUAGCUGUGGAGGCCAUUUCUUUUCUUUAGAGGAUUUGAGAAGGUUUCUUGGGUUCUCUGUGGGUUAUGGCUUGUGGAAAUGGCAUGGAGAGAUUAAAAGGUGAGACUGUGGUGGAAUCCUAUCUUCCACGUGGCGUUUAUCUUGUGGGUUGGUGGCUUAUCAUCUUCAUGUUCUGGUGAAUUGUGAUUUGUUUCCUUUUUGUGUGUGAUUGUGUUUGACACACUUUACACUAUCUUGUUGAUGUGAGCUGUACGUGGUGUUAUUUGGGACAACUCACACUAGAUUAGACGGACCAAACUGAAAUUGUUGGUACAGGUCCGGUUAUAAAUUCUGAAGCGAACAGCAGAUUUUAAGAUAUUCAUUUAUCCAAAAGUUUAAACCAAAAAAAAAAAAAAAUUCAGUUCAAUACACCAAUUUGUUUUUUUUAACCGUAACAAACCAAAAAUCUAUUCGGUUCAGUCGGCAUAAAUUUUUUUUGGGGUGGGGGAUUUUCCGCCUACCUCUUUACAGAGAUGAACGCUUUACCAAAAAAAACGGGGAGAAAAAGCUCUCCGUAGCAAAAAAAAGAAAAGAGGAUUUCAAUAAGAAAAUAAAUUGGAUUCUCAAAUCACUACACAAUUUGUCUUCCUCCCUCCACUCAUUCCACAUUUUCCCUUGUUUUGUAAUAAUCUAAACCCGUAAGAAGCUUCUUUCUAACAGACUUAACUGCCACCAACCAACAUUCUUCUCUCCCGCGUUUGCUUUACGCUCUUGCUUCACUAACUCUCUCGCUCUCUCUCUCUCUCUUUCUAAUCGCACUUGAUGUUUCUGUAGAUCCUCCUUACAAACAGAUUCGAUCCUAAGAACCCAACAGCUCCUGCACAUUCAAUUACCAACGUAUUUUCAGACCAAACCAAAUGCCAGUUUUGAAAGUGAGAACGAGAGAGUGAAAAGAUAACUAACCGCAAAGGAUUCCGAGGCCAAGACAGAACAUCAAGGUGUAUCCGAAGUAGAAACUGGUCUGGAAAAACCCAAACAUCUUUGUCUUUACGUAGUAGUAAUAGAUCGAGUAUAAGUAGACAUAAACCGCAGUCGAAGCAGCUGAGAAGAACGACGUCCAUUGCCAGUGAUAGUUUUCCGCAUUUAGCAAGAAGUAUGUUCCCACGAUCGUCACACAGACCGUCACCACAACAAGAAUCAAAAAGACAAGCAGCAUGAAUCCGUACACGUAGUAUACCUGCCACGAAAUGUACGGUGAGUUUUGCUCUUUCUAACUGAAGUUGUAAGCUGUGUAAGAGAUCUUUUUACCUUGUAAUUCCAGAAGGAUGUGAAGACAAAGUACAUUUCGAUGAAGAUGCUGCCGAAGGGUAAGAGACCUCCCAUAAGAGAGACUACUGAUGGAGUCAAGUACCACUUCUUCUCAGGGAUUGGACGUGGGAUUGUCUUCACACGGCAUGGGUUGUUUGGGGCACCACUCCAGUUUCUACCAACGACUGUCCCAAGGAGGGCGAGAGGGAAUGAAAUGAAGCCCCAAAUAACGAACACAACCACCAUCGUUCCAAAGGGAAUAGCGGCAAGAGAACCGUAGAAUAUAGCGAUUGUGUUUAGGAUGAAUCCAAUCCCAAAGCACAAGAAUGGGAAGAGCGAAGCCGUGAGGAUUAUGCACUUGAUCCAAUGUUUACCUGAGCAAAAGAAGUAUCAAGAGAAUUUGAGAAUGAGUCGAAGGAAGGUGUGUUAUUGGAGAGCUUGCUUGCUGUUUUCAACAAAGAUGGAAACAACAUACCCCCACUUCUUGAGUACAUUCCACCGCUCACAUAACCAGAGAUAAAUGACGUCAGAGCGUAGCAAACUAUGAAAGUUGUGACGAUCGCUCCUCUCCUGAACAAGGUUAAACCAGAAUGAUUUUCAGACAAAAGCUAAUCACUUACUCCGUGAGAAAUAACAACAUGAGAAGUUGAUUGAAAGUAGGAGUGUAAUACAUACCCAACAUAAAGUGUCCCAAUGAUUGCCAUUAGUAUGACAAGAAGAACAAGCAAAGCCAACUGUGCACCCGUACCAACAACAGCUGAGAGAAGAACCAGACCACGUGGUGGUCGGAACACAUCUCCGUGCACGAGUUUCCAUCCAGAUUCCUCAUUUACAUCCCGUUCCUGUUAUCAAUGCAUACCAGCUGUCAGAAGUUGCUCCACACUCUUGCACUAACGAUGAAGACAAAAUUGACAACAUCGUAGUAACACUAAGAGAACUUCUGCAGAUAUUAUUCUAGAUAAUAGAUUGAGGAAAAUCACCAGGCUCUCAAGGUCGUCGUCUUCUCGAGCAUAUUUAGCAUAAUCAUUUCUGAGAGUCCUCAUUAAUAUCAUUGAGACCAAACCAGUGAGGAAGAUAACCAUCAUGAACGAGUUAAAGAUGGAGAACCAAUGGAUCUGCAUCAUUAAUGAAUCCAUUAACGGAGCAUUAAGUGUAAUAGGUAUCUAAUUAUGAAGCGAAUGAAAUAAUGUCUGAUAGCAGAAGGAUGAAAACAGUAAGACAUAACAUGCUAUGAUUUACCUGGUGUUCGAAGAAAGGAUAGUCUAGAUAAACAUCAAAACGACGAGCAAAUGUGAUGUCGGUUGGGAUCCAAUUCACAGAAUAUGUCAAAUCAACCGUCCUCCCUGCUUCUAACGGCAUUGGGUUGUCUUGUGUGAGAUUCACAUGAAUAAUCUAUGCAAAUAAAAAAAAGUCAGAUCACAGAAAAGUAAAUAUGAGAUCCUUAAUAAUCUGCUUAAUCACAAAGAAACAACCAACCUGGUCUUUGUUGUAUUUGACAUUAAUACUCUUAUGAGUGUAAAGAGCAUGCUUGCCGUUUUCACUUUUCUUUCCAGGAGGCAGCUCGCCCACAAAACCUAUAACAGCAAUGAGAUAGUCAAAAAUCUAUAUAAGGAACUGAAAUUAAAAUUUUGGUUCUUCAAACUGAAUAUAAGAAAAUAUCAUACCCCACAAAGGCAAAUCAUCUGAAUUUGCAUCCACGUACGCCAUAAACAUAAAAUGCCAAUAAGAAGAAAGACAACAGAUAAGCAAAUAAAGGAUGCUAAACAAAAUUAGUUACACUGAUACAAGAAUAGAGGAAUUACGAUGAUGUUGUAGUAUUAGCUCAUUUUUAAACAAUGUUCAUAGCGCAGCAAGUUGAAUUCCCUUGAUGUACAUAGAGACUUUCUAUUUCAUAUGUAACGCUGACAGUAAGUCUUUUAUGAAAACAAUCAACAUCUUUUCUUUGAUACUUCGUCAUCAGUUAUAUGUAUAAGUAAAUGUGAUACAUACCCAUAAACAACUCAAACCAGUAACUAUUUUCGAUGGCAUCUUUGAAAUGCUUGACCUUAGCUUCAUCAAGUUCCAACUGACAGAUCACGCUUCUGUCAACAUUUUCUGGAAGUAAAACAGAAGUAGGCAAUGUAAGUGUUGUGCAAGCAAAAUUUGAAAGAAAAAAUAGCAAAAGAACUAACAUACUCAAGAACUUUAUGUCUAUCUGGCUGUCGAUGAGCUCAUUUCCACCAAGGACCUCACCAAGACCACCCCAUUUGUGAAUGCUGUUUUCAGUUUUGCGGCAAAACGGGAGGCUAUAAUAGUUAUAUGUUUCUUGUGGAUUAUUAUAUGGGCCAACUUUGUUAACCCAAAGAGUAACCUGCUCAUCNNNNNNNNNNNNNNNNNNNNNNNNNNNNNNNNNNNNNNNNNNNNNNNNNNNNNNNNNNNNNNNNNNNNNNNNNNNNNNNNNNNNNNNNNNNNNNNNNNNNNNNNNNNNNNNNNNNNNNNNNNNNNNNNNNNNNNNNNNNNNNNNNNNNNNNNNNNNNNNNNNNNNNNNNNNNNNNNNNNNNNNNNNNNNNNNNNNNNNNNNNNNNNNNNNNNNNNNNNNNNNNNNNNNNNNNNNNNNNNNNNNNNNNNNNNNNNNNNNNNNNNNNNNNNNNNNNNNNNNNNNNNNNNNNNNNNNNNNNNNNNNNNNNNNNNNNNNNNNNNNNNNNNNNNNNNNNNNNNNNNNNNNNNNNNNNNNNNNNNNNNAAAAAAAAAAAAAAGAGAAGGUUAGGGAAAAAUGUCGACAUACUUGGCGUGUGCCCACAACAUUCUAGAGAAUUUAUUACCAAAUGUCUCCCUUCUCUUAAAAGUCGACUCUAAACCCGUUGCCCAAACUGCAUCAGGAUGUCGACACAUUACUUGUUCCUUUCUCCAACUUAUAUUUUAUUUCUGUAACCAACCUAUCGAGAUUCUCGUACUUACCUCCCACUCAUUCAUGUUGUUGGAUGUUUCCGGGAUAUCCUCUUACGCAAAUCUCUCCACUUUUUUUCAUGAUCCCAACGAGAUCUUCUUCUUAGUCACCCAAUGUUCGUCAAUCUCUGAUUUGAUCCCAUCCUUUGCAAUUUGUGAUAUUGAAUUGAAAAAUAGCUGAUUCUGGGUUUUAUUGUUUAGGUUCUUUGGAACUCGUUCCUGAGCCUCACUCUCAGGUAUUUCAUCGAACACCUUGUCAACAAUCUCCAUUGAAAGAAUGAUUCAUACUUUUUUUUUCCAUCUUAAUUUAAAGUCUUUGCAUCUAAUUUGAAGUUUGAUUUGUGAAGGUCUUCGCAAUCUCACAUUGAAUAUAAGAAUUUUACACGAACUUACCUGUUUAAAGAUUCAUACUUUUGUUCUGUUCUGUUUUAUCUGCUUAAAAGAUUCAUACUUUUCUUCUGUUAUGUUUGGUUCUAUUCUGUUUAAAGAUUCUUACUUUUGUUCUCUUCUGUGCUAAAAAAAAACAGCAACAGAGUCCAUUUUGCAGAUAGUUCCCGACACAAUGGCUGCUUCAUCAUCAACCAUCCUCUGCAAUGCCUCCGAGUCAGACCCUUGUCGUGACGACUCCGCAGCGUUUCUACUGAAACUAGUAGCCAUUGCUUCGAUUCUCUUAUCUGGCGCAGCAGGUGUAUCUGUACCACUCAUAGGCAGAAACCGCCGGUUCCUUCAAACCGACGGCAGCCUCUUUGUAACCGCUAAAGCCUUUGCAGCAGGUGUGAUCCUCGCCACUGGGUUUGUUCACAUGUUAGCCGGUGGCGCGGAGGCUUUGAAGAACCCGUGCUUACCGGAGUUCCCUUGGUCUAAGUUUCCUUUCCCGGGGUUCUUUGCUAUGGUUGCUGCUUUGAUCACUCUGCUUGUGGAUUUCAUGGGGACUCAGUACUAUGAGAGGAAGCAAGAGAGGGAAGCUGAUGAUGAUCAGUUGCAGGGUAUUGUUGUUCCCUUGGUUGGUGAAGGAGGAUGUAACGAUGAGAAAGUGUUUGGAGAAGAAGACAAUGGUGGAAUUCACAUUGUUGGCAUUCAUGCUCAUGCUGCUCACCAUAGACAUAGUCACCCUCAUGGUCAUGGUUCGUGUGAUGGACACAGUAAAAUCGACAUUGGUCAUGGACAUGGACACGUGCAUGGGGGUUUGGAGCUUGGAAGUGGUGCAAGGCAUGUUGUUGUUUCUCAGGUACAAACUCUUUCUUGAUUCUUGUACAGCUUUAAAAUGUCCAAAAAUGAAUCUUUAUAUGAUUUGGUUAGGUUUUGGAGCUUGGGAUCGUGUCACACUCCAUUAUCAUCGGCAUAUCACUUGGAGUAUCUCAGUCUCCAUGCACAAUCCGGCCACUCAUCGCAGCACUAUCCUUCCACCAAUUCUUUGAAGGGUUUGCGCUCGGUGGAUGCAUCUCCCAAGCGCAGUUCAGGAACAAGUCAGCGACCAUAAUGGCAUGCUUUUUCGCCCUCACGACGCCUAUAGGGAUAGGGAUUGGAACUGCAGUGGCGUCGUCUUUCAACUCUCACAGCGUUGGAGCGUUGGUCACGGAAGGUGUAUUGGAUUCGCUGUCGGCAGGGAUACUUGUGUACAUGGCUUUGGUGGAUCUUAUAGCUGCUGAUUUCUUGAGUAAGAGGAUGAGUUGUAACUUUAGGCUUCAGAUUGUUUCUUAUUUGAUGUUGUUCCUUGGAGCUGGACUCAUGUCUUCUCUUGCUAUUUGGGCUUAGAUUGUGAGAUUCUUUCUUUUGUUAUAGCUGCUACAAACAAUGUGUAUAGUUCUAGAAUAAUCAAAUCUCGGAUGAGUUAUUCUUUCUUCUGUUGCCUGGAUGUUUUUGUUCUACAGUUUCCUUAUAAAAUAGAGGAAUUGGAAUUAAGUAUGCGAAAAAAAUAUAUUAAAAAAGUAUCUCCAAUGUUCAAAGACAAUGUUUUGAGAUUAUAAAAAUAAAAAAAAUAAAUAAAAGGGAGAUAAGGUUAGAUUUUCAUCAAAGGUGCACCACUCAUAGUCCUCAAAGAAACUGUACUUCCAGUGUUCAAAGAUAACGUUUAGAUUCUCAUCAAAAGUUCUUCAGAAAUUGCAUUACCAUAAGUUUGAAACAGUUAUCCAUUGAUCUAACCAAAAGAUGGUCCAAACCAAGAACAAUUACAACAGACAACAAUAUAGAUUAUACUAAAGUAACAACAAACUCAACCCAAAAUGUAAAGACAUGAAUGAUUAUGAAACCAUCAAAAGCAGCAUGUUAAUGGAGCUUUUGUCUUAAACAAUGUCAUCUUCUCUGUGGGUCUCAAUGGUAACAUCAGAAGUUGGAUAAGCCGCACAGGUGAGAACAAACCCUUCAGCAAUCUGGUCAUCAUCGAGGAAACUCUGGUCAGACUGGUCAACAAAACCAGACACAACUUUACCUGCACAGCUCGAGCAAGAACCGGCACGGCAAGAGUAAGGCAAGUCGAUCCCGGCUUCCUCAGCAGCGUCGAGGACGUAAA
Molecule: long non-coding RNA, 37571 nt
Filed under: Brassica napus (rape)
Lineage: Eukaryota; Viridiplantae; Streptophyta; Magnoliopsida; Brassicales; Brassicaceae
Description: long non-coding RNA (BNAP_LNC007548)
Source: RNAcentral